CAGUAUUCCCGAGACAUCCGUGUACAUAAGGGGGAGCUGCCGCCCAUCGCGACAGUCUUGAGGCGCAACCGAUUCUGAAUCAUGAGGCCGCUUUCUGUAGUCGUCGUUCCCGUCGUCGCUGUCGUGCUGUUUUUGGGCGCAACCCACGCGGCUUGCCCGUCGAUCCGGGGCCAGUUCAGCGACUGCAGGUUUGAGCAGUGCACGCAAGAGCAGUGUCAACGUCGGGGUCUGGAAUGCUGCCCCAAGCCUUGUGGUGGCACAUGGUGUGUCGAAGGUGUACCCAGUCCUGUAAUGCUGUUGGCACAGUACACUGGAAGUCACCACUGUCCCCAAGUUGAACCUCCACAGCCGGGUGAAUGUGAAUCAAGGCCCCACAACGUCACUUGUGAAGAUCUCGGAUGCCACGAUAUCGGUGCCAUCUGUUGCAAGCUUGCUUGCGGAGAGCCACUGUGCGUCGUGGUUAAAACACCAUACUAGCUUAGCUUGUCUCUGUGAACACGCAAGAGAAAAUCUCAAUAGAUAUUGCAGCACAGAGGAAUAUAUCAUGGAUGAAAGCAUAAUAAAAGUGCAGACAACAUGGGGGAAAGAAAGAACAUAGGAGAGACCCUGACGUCACGUUCUUGAAGCCGGCAGUACAGCCAUGUUGGUUUGCCAUCUCCCUUUGAGUCUCCAAUCAGAUCGCUGGAGCAAAUGGCGCGAGCUUUGAAUUUGCAUAACUACGAGCCGCCGGGAGAGUGCGCUGCUGACGAGCGUCAGAACAACUAUGCAAUUUCUGUAACAGAUUUUGUGAAACCGACGUGCACCUGAGUUUUUCUGUGGCUCGUUGAAGAAGACGGCGAAUACGAGCGCCAUGAUUACGUGAGUGCUGCUCUUGCAAGCGGACACUCACACUCACAGGCCCUAAACAUAACUUCAAAAGCAUACACACCACACUCCAAACUUAGCUUGUCUCGCAAACAGAAUGUGCUUCGAGGAAGACCCGGGCCGAAAAAUCUUAUCUCACAGCAGCAGCGAGAGCUUAAGGAGCGCGGUUGCUAUAGUAACGCGGUUGUUUGGGACACCCCUCCCAAUUCUCCUUUGCGAAAAAGAGCACGUGACCACUGCCACACACACUCUCAACACAUCCUGGUUGACUGGGGCCUUUCCUACGCUUUCCUUCCUUGAUGGAAGACAAGGAUCCGAAUAAAAUUAAGAAUGUUGCUAUAGAAGAA
This is a long non-coding RNA of Dermacentor albipictus, 1211 nucleotides long. RefSeq lists it as uncharacterized. NCBI's taxonomy places the organism in Eukaryota, Metazoa, Arthropoda, Arachnida, Ixodida, Ixodidae. The record is from RefSeq and is a predicted model, not a curated record.